UACGAAGGGGGCUAGCGUUGUUCGGAAUCACUGGGCGUAAAGGGCGCGUAGGCGGCCUUCUAAGUCGAACGUGAAAUCCCUGGGCUCAACCCAGGAACUGCGUCCGAUACUGGAAGGCUUGAAUCCGGGAGAGGGAUGCGGAAUUCCAGGUGUAGCGGUGAAAUGCGUAGAUAUCUGGAGGAACACCGGUGGCGAAGGCGGCAUCCUGGACCGGUAUUGACGCUGAGGCGCGAAAGCCAGGGGAGCAAACGGG
This 253-nucleotide ribosomal RNA is filed under the name uncultured bacterium. Its description in RNAcentral is "partial 16S ribosomal RNA". It matches the Rfam family "Bacterial small subunit ribosomal RNA", at positions 524 to 776 of the family's 1533-position model. The record is from RNAcentral.